UUUGUAGGCGGCGCUGUUAGUCGGGUGUGAAAUCCCAGGGCUCAACCCUGGAACUGCGCCCGAUACUGCAGUGCUUGAGGGAGACAGAGGUAAGCGGAACUGAUGGUGGAGCGGUGAAAUGCGUUGAUAUCAUCAGGAACACCGGUGGCGAAAGCGGCUUACUGGGUCUCUUCUGACGCUGAGAAACGAAAGCUAGGGGGAGCGGAAGG
This 209-nucleotide ribosomal RNA is filed under the name uncultured bacterium. Its description in RNAcentral is "partial 16S ribosomal RNA". It matches the Rfam family "Bacterial small subunit ribosomal RNA", at positions 568 to 775 of the family's 1533-position model. The record is from RNAcentral.